Ascodesmis nigricans is the source of this 74-nucleotide non-coding RNA. NCBI's taxonomy places the organism in Eukaryota, Fungi, Ascomycota, Pezizomycetes, Pezizales, Ascodesmidaceae. The record is from the annotation of a GenBank genome assembly.
UCCUCUGUGGCGCAAUUGGCUAGCGCGUCUGACUGUUAAUCAGGAGGUUGGUGGUUCAAGCCCACCCGGAGGAG